RNAcentral lists this ribosomal RNA (300 nucleotides) under uncultured Calothrix sp. Its description in RNAcentral is "bacterial SSU rRNA". It matches the Rfam family "Bacterial small subunit ribosomal RNA", at positions 114 to 432 of the family's 1533-position model. Lineage: Bacteria; Bacillati; Cyanobacteriota; Cyanophyceae; Nostocales; Calotrichaceae. The record is from RNAcentral.
UGCGUAAGAAUCUAGCUUUUGGUCGGGGACAACAGUUGGAAACGACUGCUAAUACCGGAUAUGCGGAAACGUGAAAGUUUUAAUGCCAAAAGAAGAGCUUGCGUCCGAUUAGCUAGUUGGUAGGGUAAGAGCCUACCAAGGCACCGAUCGGUAACUGGUCUGAGAGGAUGAUCAGUCACACUGGAACUGAGACACGGUCCAGACUCCUACGGGAGGCAGCAGUGGGGAAUUUUCCGCAAUGGGCGAAAGCCUGACGGAGCAAUACCGCGUGAGGGAGGAAGGCUCUUGGGUUGUAAACCU